RNAcentral lists this ribosomal RNA (465 nucleotides) under uncultured bacterium. RNAcentral describes it as "partial 16S ribosomal RNA". It matches the Rfam family "Bacterial small subunit ribosomal RNA", at positions 28 to 507 of the family's 1533-position model. The record is from RNAcentral.
GACGAACGCUGGCGGCGUGCUUAACACAUGCAAGUCGAACGGAAAGGCCCCUUUGGGGGUACUCGAGCGGCGAACGGGUGAGUAACACGUGAGUAACCUGCCCUUGACUUCGGGAUAACUUUAGGAAACUGGGGCCAAUACCGGAUAGGAAUCCUUGCUGCAUGGUGGGGGUUGGAAAGCUUCGGCGGUUUUGGAUGGACUCGCGGCUUAUCAGCUUGCUGGUGGGGUAGUGGCUUACCAAGGCUUUGACGGGUAGCCGGCCUGAGAGGGCGACCGGCCACAUUGGGACUGAGAGACGGCCCAGACUCCUACGGUAGGCAGCAGGGGGAAAUAUUGCACAAUGGGCGGAAGCCUGAUGCAGCAGCGCCGCGGGCGGGAUGACGGCCUUCGGGUUGUAGACCGCUUUCAGCAGGGGCGAAGCUUGUGGUGACGGUACCUGCAGAGGAAGCACCGGCUAACUACGUG